GGAGAGAUGGCUCAGUGGUUAAGAGCACUGACUGCUCUUCCAGAGCACCUGAGUUCAAUUCUCAGUGCCUCCC
Molecule: transfer RNA, 73 nt
Filed under: Mus musculus (house mouse)
Lineage: Eukaryota; Metazoa; Chordata; Mammalia; Rodentia; Muridae
Also listed under: 1 other name
Rfam family: tRNA
About the family: Transfer RNA (tRNA) molecules are approximately 80 nucleotides in length. Their secondary structure includes four short double-helical elements and three loops (D, anti-codon, and T loops).
Source: Rfam by way of RNAcentral